This 3903-nucleotide long non-coding RNA is filed under the name Glycine max (soybean). RNAcentral's name for it is "long non-coding RNA (GMAX_LNC004255)". Lineage: Eukaryota; Viridiplantae; Streptophyta; Magnoliopsida; Fabales; Fabaceae. The record is from RNAcentral.
CAACAAUGAAACAACUGCUUCUUGAGCCUUGUUUCAUCUUCAUUUUGUUGGUAAUCUCAGUUACCAACACUCCAACUUGUCUUUGCGUGGAUGAUGCGAGCUACACCAACUGUAGUAACGCUUUUAGCUGCGGAAAUAACAACUUCAACCUCAAAUACCCAUUCUGGGGAGAAAACAGAGAUAACCAUUGUGGUGGACCUAACUCGGAGUCGGAGAAACUCACAUGUGAAGCUCAAGUCCCCAAGAUAACCAUCAAUUUCAUCAAAUACCGUGUUCUUGGCUGGGAAAACACAUCACAGAUACUCAAAGUCGCAAGGGACAAUUAUUGGGACAAUAAUGUCUGUGUCAAUGGUGACAGGAACAGCACAUUUGAUAACACUCCGUUUCAAUAUGAUUAUGAUGGCCUUGUUAACGUUACGCUCUUUUAUGAUUGCCCUGCCAGUUCUUCACCUCCCACUAUUUCAUCGCUUCCAGCAUCGUCUGUGCUUACUUUUCCCUGUGGUGGUGCUGUCUACUACACUGUCCAACCUUUACCUUCUUCGUACGAGUCGCCCUGCAAUAUUGUUGUGAUUCCAAUCUUUAACGAUUCACUUUACACUCCGGAUAGAAUCAUUGAAGCUUUACAGGGAGGUUUUCAGAUUGAAUGGACGGGAAAUUAUGACAAGUGCGAGAAAUGCACUGGUUCUGGUGGAGAGUGUGGAUCCGUUGAUGGAAAUUUCCAAUGUUUCUGCAAGGAUGGACCUCAUUCUGCUUCAUGCAAAGGUAUAUAUGCUUGCUAGCUUCUUGGUUUCUCAGACUCUUGUGUCUCUUUUUCAAUUCUAGUUUAGUUAGUAAACAUCUUCAAGUUUGUUUCUGUUAAGAGUUUGAUUUUUCUAGGAAUCUAUUACUACAUUGGUUUGCUGCAACCCAACCUAGAUAUAUGAACAUAUUUAGAUCGAGUAGUGUAUCUGAUAGAGUCGCGAAAGCCUUCUAAAAACAUAACCCCAGCAUCAUAGGAAAUAUAUCCCAAUCUCAUUUUAAUUUGUUUCCCUUCUCAGUGACUUCUUGAAGCAUUACUACAAAACCUUUUUGACCGUUGACCUUUUUUAAGGAAAACAUUGCAGAUAAAGUCGUAGAUACCAGGUGGGAGUAAGUACCGUUCAAUAUUCAUCUCCAUAUUUAAAGGAAAAUAAUGGAUAAACGCCCUUAUCUUAUUUGGUUAUCUCCCUUCAUUUUACCUCACAAAAUCAUGAUGACAACAUGUAAAAUUAAAAGUCACUAUUUGUUGCUUUGCUUUUAUUAUGAAAAAUUAAUUGAUUAUUUCUCAUCAUGAAUUUAAUUUUUUUAUAUAACAAGGUGAGUUAGAAAUCACAUCAUGAAUCUAUAGGUUUUGAGCUGUUUAUCUCUCCACAACGACCAAAUGUUCACCUAAUUAAUGUGAACAUGUCAAUUAAUUUGCCUUAAUUAUUCGUCUGUUGAACUGACAAAAUAAAACCACUUGUUUCACUGAUGGAGUUCCUGUAAUUCCCCACCCUACUAUGGCUGUGUAUGAUGUUGGUCAAAGUAUACGUUGGUCUUAUUCCUUGUGCCUUAGCCCUUGGUAGCUCUUAAUUAAGUCCUAAACUAAACCCACUUUAGGGUGUAAUAAAGUCUACUUGGAAAUUUUGUUAGAGAAAAUGAAAUGAAAUGAAACAAAAUAGGGAGGGAAGCGAUGGAAUGGGGAAUAGCCAUUCACGACAUUGGGAAAUUGUGAUUGGUGAAGCCAUUCAGCAAUUCUAACGUAGAGCCUCAAUUAAUUUCUCUCAAAUAUGAAAAUGAUUCAUCUGCCGCUAGAAUUCCGGCGUUGAUUAUUAUUCUAUUUUUAAUUGUAAUAAUAUAUAUUUUGUCAAAUUUGAAAGGCCCGUUAACUUAUGAUAACUUUGACAAUUCGUAUAAUUUGUGAAGGGAAGUCAUCUUGACUAAUUAUGUUGCUUGGAAGUCUCAAAUUGUAUGAACGAAAGAAAGAAAAAAAAAACUACAUAGACUUAGUCUUUUUUCUUUUUUAAAUAAUAAAUUCAACUAAAAUUCCUUUUCCAUCUAGCAUCAUUCCUUUAAUUAAUAGCUACAACGCUUUAGUAAAAGGCUAUGCUGACCAUGUAUUGUUAUUUAUUUUUUGAACAAUUUUUUGUAUUAAUUAUUGUAUUAAUAUGUGGGAGGCUGGAUCAUGUUUCCCAUCAUGGAAAUAACUUUUGUGUUGUUGGAUCAUAUUUUAAGGCAAAUGUUAAGUGCAUUGGUUAAAGAAAUAAAAUUGAUUUGUUUUUUUUUUUAUCUAAAAAUACUAUUACUGUAUAUUUUUGUAAUUUUAAUAUAUUUUUAGUAUGAUUUCUAUAAUUUUUUAUUAUUAAUUUCUUAAUAUCCUAAAAACAUUGGCCAGUAGAAUUUUUAGUAUGAUUUUUAAUCUUAUUCAAAUUAUCUUGACUAAUAUAUAUAUAUAUAUAUAUUGGAUUUAGUCUUAUGUUGUUGUUUAUUGUUCAAUUUAUGUUUUCACAAAAAUUAUAUAUACAUAACUAUCUAUCUAUAUAUAAGAUAAUCAUGUAACCCAAUGAGUUGAUAGUAAAUUUGACUCUCUUCAUCUCCAUUCUUGCAGAAGAAGAGACCAGGCUCGUUCAAAUUUAAUAGCGGUAAAUUUAUAUUUUCAAAUUCAUACUCAUUAGAUUUUAUUGGAUUUAGGUAAACGGGCAGGGGAAUUCAUCACUUUUUAUAAUUUUAAUUUAUUUAUAUUUUUAAAAAUAUUAUUAUAUAUUAGUAAUUUGAUAUUAUUUAAUUUUAUUUUUAUAUUUGAUCCAAUAAAGAAACUAUAAUUCUCUGGUUGAUUAUCAUUUACAAAAUAUCAUUUCAUUGUAAAGCUUACAUAUAUUUUUAUUCUUUAAUAAUAUACUAAUUUUUAGUUUAAAUUUUAUUAUAGUUUUUGUUUCUUAUGAUGUUAAAACAAAUACUUUUUUAUUAUCAUAUUGUUAAUUCGGAAUAUUUACUAAUUUUGUCAAUAACCAUUUUUUCUUGAAAUUUUAAGUAAAUUAUCAUGAAUAGUUUACAUGUUGAUAUAAAAUUUGAAUGUGAACUUAUAAAUGUAACAUAUCAUUAAAAAUUAACAAUCAAAAGAGUAAUAUUUUUAUCAAAUAUUAUAUUUUAAUUUAAAUAAAAAAAAGAGACAUGAAAUAUGAUACUAAUUUCAAUAUGUUCAUAAAAAUAAUAUAGAUAGAGACUUAGGAAUAACCAAAGUGAGUUUUGUUAUUUUGAUAAAGUUCUUUUCAUACUUACUAUCAGAAAAUCGAAUACCUAUUGACAGUAUGUCUAAAAAAGUUCAAUCAUGUAUUAAUUGUAUUCGAACUGUACCGUCCCACUUUUAGACAAGGAACAAGCAUGCCUAAGCAAGCAUCAUGUUGACCCAACCUUUUUUUUCCCGAAAUUCUAAGUCGCAGUUUGGCUCGGGUUUCCUAGAAAAUUUGGUGUUGAAAUUUGUAAGCAUUGAAAGUGAAACGCAAAUUGAUUGGAGAGUUCCCACUAUAAUAGUCCACGCUCUGGUUUACUGAUUCAAUCAUCUUCUUCAUUUUGAUAAAAGUACUUCUCCUCCUACAUCUUUUUUGGUCCUACUGCAACAAUGAAACAACUGCUUCUUGAGCCUUGUUUCAUCUUCAUCUUGUUGGUAAUCUCAAUUACCAACACUCCAACUUGCCUUUGCGAAGAUGAUGCUCGCUACGCCAACUGUAGAAACGCAAUUAGCUGCGGAAAUAACAACUUCAACCUCAAAUACCCAUUCUGGGGAGAAGACAGAGGUAGCAUUUGUGGUGGACCUAACUACGAGUCGGAGGAACUCACAUGUGAAGGUCAAGUCCCCAAGAUAACCAUAAAUUUCAUCAGAUACCGUGUUCUUGGCUGGGAAAACAC